RNAcentral lists this ribosomal RNA (306 nucleotides) under Triticum aestivum (bread wheat). RNAcentral describes it as "partial small subunit ribosomal RNA". Lineage: Eukaryota; Viridiplantae; Streptophyta; Magnoliopsida; Poales; Poaceae. The record is from RNAcentral.
AUGCUUGGGUUCCAUGGAGGGGCACAGAGGCAAGCAGGAAACGAGGCAGGGGCGACGUGGGAGGAAGCAGGGGUGCCGGACGCGCGUGGAGAGGCUCGAAGUCGAGCUCCUGGUUCCGGCGAACUCCGAACGGAGCGGCAGGGACCUGUUGGCUUGCUCCGGCGUGGUGGCGAGGACGUGGUGGCGGCGUCAAGGUACGGGGCCCCGCUGGAAGAAGGAGUGGAGGGGCUCAGGCAUGAGCUCCUGCUCAAGGAAGGCGACGGGGAGGCAGCAGAGCAGGGUGAGGUUAGCCUGAUUCGGAGCUGA